AUGGAUUUGCUGCUCCCGAUCUCGUUUGCGCCACCUAUUUCCUGCUGCUCCCUUACGCCGCAGGCUGCCGUUGCUCGCUUCUCGCACGAGCUUCCACCAGCUUCCCGACGUUCUCCCUCUCGCCUGCCAGCGACAGCAGCGCGGCCAGCGCGUCCUUCUUUGUGCUCGUCGGGCCCGUGCGCACGAGGUGGACUAACUUUUCCACGACGGAAGGCUCGGCGGCACGUAUGGACGGACGCCAGGCUGAGCAAGGCCGUCGCGGCGUUCUCCUUGGCGCGCCACGUCGUGCCGGAGCUCAUGAUGUGGGUCACUGCCUCGAUGGCGCCAUCGGCGUGCAUGAUGCGCUUCUUGUUGGCCUCGAGGAUCGAAAGGUUGAGCAGCGCGGUCACGGCGUUGAGCUGGAGCCCGGCGUCCUCGGACUAG
Molecule: ribosomal RNA, 423 nt
Filed under: Triticum aestivum (bread wheat)
Lineage: Eukaryota; Viridiplantae; Streptophyta; Magnoliopsida; Poales; Poaceae
Description: partial small subunit ribosomal RNA
Source: RNAcentral